CAUUACCGAACCGUCGACACGAGCUGUUGCUGGCCCUCGUAAGGGGGCACGUGCACGCUCUGUUAACACAUCCACUCACACCUGUGCACCCUCUGUAGUUCUGUGGCCUUGGGGACCCUGUCCCCUUGCCGCGGUCCUACGUUUUUACACACACACCGUAACAAAGUCUCAUGGAGUGUAUGUCGCGUUUAACGCAAUACAAUACAACUUUCAGCAACGGAUCUCUUGGCUCUCGCAUCGAUGAAGAACGCAGCGAAAUGCGAUAAGUAAUGUGAAUUGCAGAAUUCAGUGAAUCAUCGAAUCUUUGAACGCACCUUGCGCCCUUUGGCUAUUCUGAAGGGCAUGCCUGUUUGAGUAUCAUGAACACCUCAACUCUCAUGGUCCGCCAUGAUGAGCUUGGACUUUGGGGGUCUUGCCGGCCCAGCGUCGGCUCCUCUCAAAUGGAUCAGCUCGCCAGUGUUUGGUGGCGUCACAGGUGUGAUAACUAUCUACGCUUGUGGUUCCUGCCAUGUAACCUUCAGUGAUGGAGGUUCGCUGGAGCUCACAGAUGUCUCUCCUCAGGGAUGACAGCUUUUGAACGUUGUCUCAA
RNAcentral lists this ribosomal RNA (589 nucleotides) under uncultured fungus. RNAcentral describes it as "eukaryotic LSU rRNA". The stretch from base 206 to 360 matches the Rfam family "5.8S ribosomal RNA". The record is from RNAcentral. Lineage: Eukaryota; Fungi.